AUUUAAAAUAGUCCAAAAUAAAGUUAUAUAGAAUUUAUAAGAAUCCACAAAUAGUUCAUUCCACUUCGCGAUUGCAUAAUUUUGACGUAUGCGGUUCAACGUAUUUCCUUAUUCAUAAUAGAAAUACAUCAUAAUGAUAUAUUAUAGAACAAUAACAUAUAGACGGGAUCUUUUAAAGUACAGAGUCACGUUAUAAGAACCAAAGAAACACAAAAAGUCGCAUAUAAAAAGCACACCAGCAAAAAUGAAAGAUAAUACAAACACAUUGACCGGAUGUGUAAGUACCGAGCCACGUUAAACAGAUAUCACGUAAAACAAUCCAACAGUAACAGUAAUAUUAAUAAUAGAACAAAGACAAAUGAAAGAACAAUAUAAUACGUUGUUAAGAUGAUAAACAACAUCAGUACGCAGAAUCUACACAUCAAGACCAUCAUGUAUCAUGUGUGCAGUUGAUACGGAAUAUUUAUCAACAAGGUAUUGGUACCUUCCGACGAACUUUUUUUAGAAAAAGGACGACACGUUUUUUGACAUACCCC
This 536-nucleotide long non-coding RNA is filed under the name Mytilus galloprovincialis (Mediterranean mussel). The record is from RNAcentral. Lineage: Eukaryota; Metazoa; Mollusca; Bivalvia; Mytilida; Mytilidae.